This 236-nucleotide unclassified non-coding RNA is filed under the name rhizosphere metagenome. Its description in RNAcentral is "partial ribosomal RNA internal transcribed spacer region". The record is from RNAcentral.
GUAGGUGAACCUGCGGAAGGAUCAUUAUUGAUUUCAAAUGGGAUGUGCUGACCCCCUCUAAGGGGGGUAAUGUGCACUCUCAACCUUUACAUCCACCUGUGCACUCACUGUAGGCAACAAGGGAUUACAGUUCCUGCCUAUGUUUUUUGUAACACUUUUAUACAUUAUGGAUUGUAGUCUGGCUUUUCAAGUCAAUAAAACUUAUACAACUUUCAACAAUGGAUCUCUUGGUUCUC